This is a non-coding RNA of Podarcis lilfordi (Lilford's wall lizard), 70 nucleotides long. The record is from the annotation of a GenBank genome assembly. NCBI's taxonomy places the organism in Eukaryota, Metazoa, Chordata, Lepidosauria, Squamata, Lacertidae.
GCAGUAGCUCAGUCAGUAGAGCAUGAGACUCUUAAUCUCAGGAUUAUGGGUUCAAGCCCCACGUUGAGCA